CCUACGGGUGGCAGCAGUGAGGAAUAUUGGUCAAUGGGCGGAAGCCUGAACCAGCCAAGUAGCGUGCAGGAUGACGGCCCUACGGGUUGUAAACUGCUUUUAUACGGGAAUAACGCGCCUUACGUGUAGGGCUUUGCAUGUACCGUAUGAAUAAGGACCGGCUAAUUCCGUGCCAGCCGCCGCGGUAAUACGGAAGGUCCGGGCCUUAUCCGGAUUUAUUGGGUUUAAAGGGAGCGUAGGCCGCAUGUCAAGCGUGAUGUGAAAUGUCCGGGCUCAACCCGGGCCGUGCAGCGCGAACUGGCGGGCUUGAGUCCGCGGAAGGCAGGCGGAAUUCGUGGUGUAGCGGUGAAAUGCUUAGAUAUGACGAAGAACCCCGAUGGCGAAGGCAGCUUGCUGCAGCGGAACUGACGCUGAUGUGCGAAAGCGCGGGUAUCGAACAGGAUUAGAUACCCUUGUAGUC
Molecule: ribosomal RNA, 460 nt
Filed under: uncultured bacterium
Lineage: Bacteria
Description: partial 16S ribosomal RNA
Rfam family: Bacterial small subunit ribosomal RNA
Source: RNAcentral